Molecule: ribosomal RNA, 250 nt
Filed under: uncultured bacterium
Lineage: Bacteria
Description: partial 16S ribosomal RNA
Rfam family: Archaeal small subunit ribosomal RNA
Source: RNAcentral
UACCGGCGGCUCGAGUGGUGGCCACUUUUAUUGGGCUUAAAGCGUUCGUAGCUGGGUUGUUAAGUCUCUUGGGAAAUCUGGCAGCUUAACUGUCAGGCGUCUAAGAGAUACUGGCAAUCUAGGAACCGGGAGAGGUGAGGGGUACUUCGGGGGUAGGAGUGAAAUCCUGUAAUCCUCGAGGGACCACCUGUGGCGAAGGCGCCUCACCAGAACGGCUUCGACAGUGAGGGACGAAAGCUGGGGGAGCAAA